Molecule: ribosomal RNA, 906 nt
Filed under: Lepocinclis caudata
Lineage: Eukaryota; Euglenozoa; Euglenophyceae; Euglenales; Phacaceae
Description: partial large subunit ribosomal RNA
Rfam family: Eukaryotic large subunit ribosomal RNA
Source: RNAcentral
GCUCUGAUUGUCAUGGCGAAGAGAUUCAGCCNAGCGCGGGUAAACGGCGGGAGUAACUAUGACUCUCUUAAGGUAGCCAAAUGCCUCGUCAACCAAUUAUUGACGCGCAUGAAUGGAUCAACGAGAUUCCUGCUGUCCCUAGGUGCUGUCCGGUGAACCAACAGCCNAGGNAACGGGNUNGGGNNUGNCACCGGNGNAAGAAGACCCUGUUGAGUUUGACUCUAGUUUGAUGCUGUGCAACGACAUGUGGGGUGUAGCAUAGGUGGGAGGCCCGCGCCAUGGGCACACGCACGACGGCCCUCGCCGCCGUGCGACGAAGAGCAGCAGGNAAGUUGUUCGUUGGAUUGUUUGUUCUGUGGAAGGAAGGCCAAUCGUAUCUCCUGGGUGACUAUGACCACCCAUCAUCCGGACGGUGACUAUGACCACCGUACCUCCAUCGCUCCGUCAGCAGGCAGGCAGGCACUGGUUUGAUCGUCGGUCGGCCUGGGUGGUGAUUAUUGAAGACCACACCACACCAGCCACCACCACGCUGUGGGCUCUCUUGUGUUUCGUGACGACCCUCUCGGUCGAGUCGAGUGAGGCAGACAGGUCUGUGAUGCAAAUGCAUCGUAUCGGCAACGCCUUGGCACAACGCAUGGAAGGAAGACCAUCACCAUUUGUGAUUGGGAAACGGACUGGACAUCAUGGCAAUCGGCACGGAUGGAGCAUGGGACAUCCACGGAUACCAUCGGCAUCGGCUCAGCGAGAUUCAUACAUUGGUGCAAACCAGCAGUGAAAUACCACUACCUUCACCGUCGUUUUACUCAUCGAGUGGCUUGGGAACAGCGGCCCAUUUACUUGGACAUCGGCCCUUGCUCUCACUGCGGGGGCCGCGGCCACAAUCUGCUUCGUGCGUGGAAGCGUCGC